CGAGGGGUGCAAACGUUAUUCGGAAUCACUGGGCGUAAAGGGUGCGUAGACGGCGAGUCAAGUCAAUCAUUAAAUCUCCUAGCUUAACUAGGAGCUCGUGAUUGAGACUGAUUUGCUUGAGGAUGGAAGAGAGAAGUGGAAUUCUCGGAGUAGCGGUAAAAUGCGUAGAUCUCGAGAGGAACACCGAUGGCGAAGGCAGCUUCUUGGUCCAUUUCUGACGUUGAGGCACGAAAGCGUGGGGAGCAAACAGGAUUAGAUACCCUGGUAGUCCACGCUGUAAACGAUGAUCACUAGAUGUUAGGUCCGCUUUAGGGCUUAGUAUCGCAGCUAACGCAUUAAGUGAUCCGCCUGGGAAGUACGGUCGCAAGAUUA
RNAcentral lists this ribosomal RNA (372 nucleotides) under uncultured organism. RNAcentral's name for it is "bacterial SSU rRNA". It matches the Rfam family "Bacterial small subunit ribosomal RNA", at positions 526 to 896 of the family's 1533-position model. The record is from RNAcentral.